RNAcentral lists this ribosomal RNA (497 nucleotides) under uncultured bacterium. Its description in RNAcentral is "partial 16S ribosomal RNA". It matches the Rfam family "Bacterial small subunit ribosomal RNA", at positions 28 to 507 of the family's 1533-position model. The record is from RNAcentral.
GAUGAACGCUGGCGGCGUGCCUAAUACAUGCCAGUCGAGCGAACAGACGAGGAGCUUGCUCCUCUGACGUUAGCGGCGGACGGGUGAGUAACACGUGGAUAACCUACCUAUAAGACUGGGAUAAUUUCGGGAAACCGGAGCUAAUACCGGAGAAUAUAUUGAACCGCAUGGUUCAAUAGUGAAAGACGGUUUUGCUGUCACUUAUAGAUGGAUCCGCGUCGCAUUAGCUAGUUGGUAAGGUAACGGCUUACCAAGGCGACGAUGCGUAGCCGACCUGAGAGGGUGAUCGGCCACACUGGAACUGAGACACGGUCCAGACUCCUACGGGAGGCAGCAGUAGGGAAUCUUCCGCAAUGGGCGAAAGCCUGACGGAGCAACGCCGCGUGAGUGAUGAAGGUCUUCGGAUCGUAAAACUCUGUUAUUAGGGAAGAACAAAUGUGUAAGUAACUAUGCACGUCUUGACGGUACCUAAUCAGAAAGCCACGGCUAACUACGUG